GAUGAAGAACGCAGCGAAAUGCGAUACGUAAUGUGAAUUGCAGAAUUCAGUGAAUCAUCGAGUCUUUGAACGCACAUUGCGCCCCUUGGUAUUCCAUGGGGCAUGCCUGUUCGAGCGUCAUUUGUACCUUCAAGCUCUGCUUGGUGUUGGGUGUUUUGUCUCGCCUCUGCGUGUAGACUCGCCUUAAAACAAUUGGCAGCCGGCGUAUUGAUUUCGGAGCGCAGUACAUCUCGCGCUUUGCACUCAUAACGGCGACGUCCAAAAGUACAUUUUUACACUCUUGACCUCGGAUCAGGUAGGGAUACCCGCUGAACUUAAGCAUAUCAAUAAGCGGAGGA
This 338-nucleotide unclassified non-coding RNA is filed under the name soil metagenome. Its description in RNAcentral is "partial contains 5.8S ribosomal RNA, internal transcribed spacer 2, and large subunit ribosomal RNA". The stretch from base 1 to 120 matches the Rfam family "5.8S ribosomal RNA", at positions 35 to 154 of the family's 154-position model. The record is from RNAcentral.